UGGCUGCUGAUUCUCCUGAUCAGUUGGUUACAAUUCACAAGUAGAUUAAAUUUCUUCAUCGGUAGGUGCUCGCUCAACCAGAUUAAAACUGUCCUUGGAUUCUGCCGUAAUUCAGGUUGCCUUGCGCGGUGUGGCUGCGGCGAAGUCGUUCCAAAAGGAUCUGAACAAGAUCGCUGAGAAGGUUCAGGCUUCUGACCAGCGCUGGUACAAGUUCAUAUUGACUGAGACCAUACGUUCCUUGCGCCGCCACAAGGAUAGCUGCAUCUCUUCAAGCUUGUCGGCUGAUGUGAAAGAUUAUAGGAAGGAGCAUUUCAACAAGAUUUCCAUAGAAGAGAGGAGCAAAUUCGAUGAGGAAACAUUCAGCAACUUGGACGGGAUCAAGAGCAAGAGAAGCUACUCGAGGAAAACAGGCGUCUCCAAAAACGAAUAUACAGUGUCUGCAGUUAACCAUUCUGAUCGCUGCGGAAGGAGCACUGCAGUUCCCCGGAGUCAGAAGCUCUGCAGAUCUAGAAGCAGUAGUGGGAAAGCUCAACUCUAUUCCUGCAGGAGAAAUUCGGGGUAUUCAUGUCCUGUAGACUCCUCAGCAAGAGAACGACGUGCUCUCAGAAGAGAGCUGAAGGAGGAUUACCCGUACCUGAAACCCUUGCGCGAUGACUAGCAGGGACGCCGUUCUCUUCACGUCCUUGAGUUUUUUUUUUUCGAAAUCUUCUAGGCUGUCCAUACUAGUUAGGAGUUGAACAUUUUUUUUUUCGAAAUCGGAAGUUUUGUAAAUUUCAAGAUUGUUGUUACUACUUACUAGUUAGAAGUUGAACAUAUUGAGAAUGUGAAGGUCUGUGUCUGUUUUCUCAUUUAUAUUCCCUCUAUU
This is a long non-coding RNA of Setaria italica (foxtail millet), 865 nucleotides long. RefSeq lists it as uncharacterized. The record is from RefSeq and is a predicted model, not a curated record. The transcript has 5 exons. Lineage: Eukaryota; Viridiplantae; Streptophyta; Magnoliopsida; Poales; Poaceae.